Molecule: long non-coding RNA, 1795 nt
Organism: Drosophila ficusphila
Lineage: Eukaryota; Metazoa; Arthropoda; Insecta; Diptera; Drosophilidae
Exons: 2
Source: RefSeq, a predicted model, not a curated record
CCGGCAAACGCGGUUCGCUCUUUUGGCUCUCUCGGCCUUUCCUUCGCCGUCCGCCUCUUUGGCCUUUGCCGAUUUUCGGUUUAUCUCUGUGGGCAGGAAAAUCGCAAUCGGCCUGGCCAUAUAAAAUAAAAGGCCAGACAAUUUCUGGGCUUUGGCACAGUCGUUCGGUUCGCACCAAAUGGGAGACAACAGACAACAACGUGGGAGAAGAGAGAGCGGGGCGUUAAAGAAAAAUAUUCACAGAAAAUAGCAAACGCGCGUGUGUGCUGUGCGGUGCGUGUGUGUGAAAGCCAAGGAAAAUGCAACGGAAGUUGUCUGUGGAAAAGACAAAAAAAAAAUCGCAAACGGAACCGAAACAUAUUGUGAAAUUCGAGCGACAGAGAAGGCGAUACACCAACGUGCUUUCUGGAGCUUCUGGGUUUUUCUACCAAAAGGAAUUAAAAAAGAACAUUAAAAAGAAGACACAAAAGAGACGGGCCGAAAGAAGAGCGAGGUGUAUUUUUAGCAUUUCGAUAUCACAAGGCAGCUUUUUUUCGCUACACUACGAGAAAAAAUGACGCAAACGACGACCACAUGAUUCUACAUAUUUCCAUAUAACCCAUACGAACCGUUUCAAAUAUAGAAUAUCAAGGGUCUGCCAGACGAAGCGCAAGAUAAAGAGAAUUUGCUGAAUGAAAUGUAAUAAUUCGCCGCCGGAUGACGUCACGUCCUAUGUGGUCAUUAGCACUCCAUGUUCCAGUCAGUGGCGCAACAAGGGGAAGGUUCCCCUUUUGGAGAAGAGUUCGUUAAACAUGCACACGAAACCAAAUCACCAUUUUUAUUAUGGCCCCGCAUAACAAUCAUAAAGUUCCCCCAAAUUCUACUCUAGAUACGCCCCUGGCUUCAGUUCUCCAGUCUCAUAUGACUAAUUUUGGCAUUGUUAUUGCAUAAAAUUCGCAUGGCGUCAUCAUCACCGCGUACAACUACAAAAGAGCGAUGAGAUCGUUAACCCUAAAUCGGGAACGGGGACCUAAUACCAGGCACAAGGUCGUCACCCGACCCCUUCCAUCCCAGAAAUGGGGGUCGCCAUUUGCUGCAGUUUUGUUGCCAGGCGGCCGAACAUCUGUCUCAGAACAGCGAAAAAAGGAAAACGAAGAAACCUGACUGGGCUUGGCUUUAUAUAAGGUUGUUAAAUAUCUUCCUUCCGCUUUUUUCUCUUUAUACAAUGCUUUAUUCAAAGUAUUACAGUAAAUAAAGUUUUACAGAAAAUAAACAGCAUCGAAUAAAGAGCAAAAAGGCGUAAGGGAGAUAUUUGACAAGCUUAUAUACAUCUUAUAUUAAAUAUCUACAUCUACAUCUUCAACUCCAGCUUCAGCUCCUACUCGGUAUACAUGAUGUUCCCCAGCUGGAAAAAAGUCUACUGCCUUGCGCGCUAAUCAGUGACCGGGGCUGGUUUUUAUAUACAGUCAGGUACCUGAAGUAGCGCGCGUGGUGCCAGACAUACAUCUCCAUAUCCAGCACGUUUAGCUCGCCGUCGAGUCCUCGAAACAAAUCCCAGGUGUAUCAACUGUCUCCCAUGUCUAUUGUACUUCAUCAGGUGCUCUGGUGUGGCCCGCAACCCGGCACAUGUUGAAGUACACUCAAUAUGAGGCGAUUUGCAUACGAAAACGACGUACUAAAGUGCUUUCAAAGCUUACCGAAAUUCAGAUUACUCCUAAAAAAUUUAAAUUUUAAAGAUGCGAAUUUUGUCAACAAUCAUAAUUUAAGAACCUUGUAGGUGUUACACUUAAAAUAUGCUAAUAAACUUUUAAACAAA